CUGUAUCUCAUUACUUUAUGCAAUUAUCUUGAUUCCUUUGAUCAUAGUGAUCAUCAUUGAUAUCUUAUAGGUUAAAUUAGGUUAUAAAUUCUUCAUCCUUAUAUUGUAAUUUUUUAAAAUACAUCUUUUCACCCUCCUCUAGGUGUUACGCUACUAGACCAUGGUUUUUCAAUCAGUUUUUCAUCACUUGUGCAGAUUCAUUAUGAAACUACAGGGCUAGAGAUCUGCAGAGGCUGUGGAGGAAAAGUUGGUGUCUUUGUUUCUGGGAUGGGGACUAGGGAAACAGUCAUUGGAGCAAGAAGGUUCCUUAAGAAUAAAAACCUAGAUAUUAAGGCAUACGAUGUAGAACCGACAGAAAGCGCAAUUUUGAAUGGACGAGAACCUGUUAAUUGGGAAUACCCCAUUGGUGUAUCUGAACAAAGUUGUGGAUGGUUGUUUAGCCCGUAUUGCAGUGACGCUAGAGGCAAUGGAGCCCUGCUCUAGUGUCAAAGAUAGAAUUGCUUUGAGCAUGAUCAAAGAUGUAGAAGAUAAGGGACUGAUUCAACCUGGGAAGGUCUGCUACCUAUAAACUUCCAUUGAAGAU
This is a long non-coding RNA of Vitis riparia (riverbank grape), 583 nucleotides long. RefSeq lists it as uncharacterized. NCBI's taxonomy places the organism in Eukaryota, Viridiplantae, Streptophyta, Magnoliopsida, Vitales, Vitaceae. The record is from RefSeq and is a predicted model, not a curated record. The transcript is spliced from 4 exons.